AUGGCAAAUGUGAGAUGCAGUGUAUGGAAUGUCAAAUUUCUAGUAUGAGAAAUUAACGAUUUAAGUCCUUCUUAAAUGAGGCCAUUUACCCAUAGAGGGUGCCAGGCCCGUAUAACGUUAAUGAUUACUAGAUGGCAUUUCCAAAGAGUCGUGUUGCUUGAUAGUGCAGCACUAAGUGGGUGGUAAACUCCAUCUAAAACUAAAUAUAACCAUGAGACCGAUAGUAAACAAGUACCGUGAGGGAAAGUUGAAAAGAACUCUGAAUAGAGAGUUAAAUAGUACGUGAAACUGCUUAGAGGUUAAGCCCGAUGAACCUGAAUAUCCAUUAUAGAAAAUUCAUCAUUAUGAUUUUAAUAUUUAUAAUAUUAUAAUAAUGGUGUGCAUUUUUUCUAUAACGGACAUUGUAAUCUAUUAACAUAAAUUAAUUUAUCAUAAGAUCAAUGAUGCGUAAGUUUAUUCAAAUUAUUUUGCUUGCAAUUUAACAUAGAAUAAAUGCUCUUGAUUUGAUAAAGUGUUGAUAGAUUUAUUGUAUAUAGUGCUUAAAUAUUUAUAUUUUAUAAUAGCAUAUUAAUCAUUGAUUUUUAUGUUUAUUAUAUGCACUUAUAUGAUUAACAAUGCGAAAGAUUCAGGAUACCUUCGGGACCCGUCUUGAAACACGGACCAAGGAGUCUAACAUAUUUGCAAGUUAUUGGGUAUCAAAACCUAAUAGCGAAAUUAACAUAACUUUAAUGGGAUUAGUUUUUAGAUUAUUUAUAGUCUAUUAAUUCAAUCCCGGGGCGUUCUAUAUAGUUAUGUAUAAUAAUAUUUAUAUUAUUUAUACCUCUAACUAGAGCGUACCUUGAGCAUAUAUGCUGUGACCCGAAAGAUGGUGAACUAUACUUGAUCAGGUUGAAGUCAGGGGAAACCCUGAUGGAAGACCGAAACAGUUCUGACGUGCAAAUCGAU
This 945-nucleotide ribosomal RNA is filed under the name Sarcophaga aratrix. RNAcentral describes it as "eukaryotic LSU rRNA". It matches the Rfam family "Eukaryotic large subunit ribosomal RNA", at positions 129 to 902 of the family's 3401-position model. Lineage: Eukaryota; Metazoa; Arthropoda; Insecta; Diptera; Sarcophagidae. The record is from RNAcentral.